AGAGUUUGAUCCUGGCUCAGAACGAACGCUGGCGGCAGGCCUAACACAUGCAAGUCGAGCGCACUCUUCGGAGUGAGCGGCGGACGGGUUAGUAACGCGUGGGAACGUACCCAGAUCUACGGAAUAGCCUCGGGAAACUGAGAGUAAUACCGUAUACGCCCUUCGGGGGAAAGAUUUAUCGGAUUUGGAUCGGCCCGCGUUAGAUUAGAUAGUUGGUGAGGUAACGGCUCACCAAGUCUACGAUCUAUAGCUGGUUUUAGAGGAUGAUCAGCAACACUGGGACUGAGACACGGCCCAGACUCCUACGGGAGGCAGCAGUGGGGAAUCUUGGACAAUGGGCGCAAGCCUGAUCCAGCCAUGCCGCGUGAGUGAUGAAGGCCUUAGGGUCGUAAAGCUCUUUCGCCAGAGAUGAUAAUGACAGUAUCUGGUAAAGAAACCCCGGCUAACUCCGUGCCAGCAGCCGCGGUAAUACGGAGGGGGUUAGCGUUGUUCGGAAUUACUGGGCGUAAAGCGCGCGUAGGCGGACCAGAAAGUUAGGGGUGAAAUCCCGGGGCUCAACCCCGGAACUGCCUCUAAAACUCCUGAUCUAGAGUUCGAGAGAGGUGAGUGGAAUUCCGAGUGUAGAGGUGAAAUUCGUAGAUAUUCGGAGGAACACCAGUGGCGAAGGCGGCUCACUGGCUCGAUACUGACGCUGAGGUGCGAAAGUGUGGGGGAGCAA
RNAcentral lists this ribosomal RNA (718 nucleotides) under uncultured bacterium. Its description in RNAcentral is "bacterial SSU rRNA". It matches the Rfam family "Bacterial small subunit ribosomal RNA", at positions 8 to 771 of the family's 1533-position model. The record is from RNAcentral.